AUGACACCGAAAAACACUGGUAAUAACCUCUAUAUCUCUAUACAUGUAUACAUGUAUGUAUAUCUAUAUCUAUCUAUCUAUCUAUAUAUAUCUAUUAUAUAUGCAUAUAUAUAUAUGCAUGCCUCCUGCAACCCCUCUAAUGUGAUACAUUUUUUAACUAGCCUAAAACACUAAGCUAAUGAACAUUAUGCUUGACCAAUUAAUAUGUGUAUGUAGAAUGUGUUUCUAAUCAUUCUAAUGUUUACAGUAGCUCAAACAGGAUUUUACUUCAAAAUAAUUCUGUACAAUGGAAAAAUAUGUGUGUAUAUAUUUGGGAAGUAAAAUAGAAUUUGAGAUGCUAUGAAAAUGAGACUGAUCAGAAGCACACUGAAUAUAACAAAAAAAUCAAAACUUAAUUUGUGAUUUCAGUUGUUAAGAAAGAUACACUAGUUGGACAUGUUACAAUGGAAGAAACUUUUAAUAAAUAGAUAUUUAAUUCUCCUCAAAAGUAAUAAUUAUAUAAAAGGAGUAAGUGCAGAAUUUGUUUUUUUUCCACCAUCUAAAUUUCAAGCAUACUGUGCUGGUUAGCGAUUACUGGUUAGUCAAAGGGAAGUCAGUGUAGCUGGCUAUCCUGGCCAGAGGUCAAAGGUUAGUGAGUACUGGUUAGUGAGAGGGAAGUCAGUGUAGCUGGCUAUCCUGGCCAGAGGUCAAAGGUUAGUGAGUACUGGUUAGUGAGAGGGAAGUCAGUGUAGCUGGCUAUCCUGGCCAGAGGUCAAGGGUUAGUGAUUACUGGUUAGUGAGAGGGAAGUCAGUGUAGCUGGCUAUCCUGGCCAGAGGUCAAGGGUUAGUGAUUACUGGUUAGUGAGAGGGAAGUCAGUGUAGCUGGCUAUCCUGGCCAGAGGUCAAGGGUUAGUGAUUACUGGUUAGUGAGAGGGAAGUCAGUGUAGCUGGCUAUCCUGGCCAGAGGUCAAAGGUUAGUGAUUACUGGUUAGUGAGAGGGAAGUCAGUGUAGCUGGCUAUCCUGGCCAGAGGUCAAAGGUUAGUGAGUACUGGUUAGUGAGAGGGAAGUCAGUGUAGCUGGCUAUCCUGGCCAGAGUUCAAGGGUUAGUGAAGGAAGUCAGUGUAGCUGGCUAUCUUGGCUAGCAGUCAAGGGUUAGUGAUUACUGGUUAGUGAGAGGGAAGUCCGUGUAGCUGGCUAUCCUGGCUAGCAGUCAAGGGUUAGUGAUUACUGGUUAUUGAGAGGGAAGUCAGUGUAACUGGCUAUCCUGGCUAGAGGUCAAGGGUUAGUGAUUACUGAUUAGUGAGAGGUAAGUCAGUGUAGCUGGCUAUCCUGGCUAGAGGUCAAGGGUUAGUUAUUACUGGUUAGUGAGAGGGAAGUCAGUGUAGCUGGCUAUCCUGGCUAGAGGUCAAGGGUUAGUUAUUACUGGUUAGUGAGAGGGAAGUCAGUGUAGCUGACUAUCCUGGCCAGAGUUCAAGGGUUAGUGAAGGAAGUCAGUGUAGCUGGCUAUCUUGGCUAGCAGUCAAGGGUUAGUGAUUACUGGUUAGUGAGAGGGAAGUCCGUGUAGCUGGCUAUCCUGGCUAGCAGUCAAGGGUUAGUGAUUACUGGUUAUUGAGAGGGAAGUCAGUGUAACUGGCUAUCCUGGCUAGAGGUCAAGGGUUAGUGAUUACUGAUUAGUGAGAGGUAAGUCAGUGUAGCUGGCUAUCCUGGCUAGAGGUCAAGGGUUAGUUAUUACUGGUUAGUGAGAGGGAAGUCAGUGUAGCUGGCUAUCCUGGCUAGAGGUCAAGGGUUAGUUAUUACUGGUUAGUGAGAGGGAAGUCAGUGUAGCUGGCUAUCCUGGCUAGAGGUCAAGGGUUAGUUAUUACUGGUUAGUGAGAGGGAAGUCAGUGUAGCUGGCUAUCCUGGCUAGAGGUCAAGGGUUAGUUAUUACUGGUUAGUGAGAGGGAAGUCAGUGUAGCUGGCUAUCCUGGCUAGAGGUCAAGGGUUAGUUAUUACAGGUUAGUGAGAGGGAAGUCAGUGUAGCUGGCUAUCCUGGCUAGAGGUCAAGGGUUAGUUAUUACUGGUUAGUGAGAGGGAAGUCAGUGUAGCUGGCUAUCCUGGCUAGAGGUCAAGGGUUAGUUAUUACUGGUUAGUGAGAGGGAAGUCAGUGUAGCUGGCUAUCCUGGCUAGAGGUCAAGGGUUAGUUAUUACUGGUUAGUGAGAGGGAAGUCGGGGUGUCGGAUACAAACAUCAGCUAUCUGGCUGGCUAUCCUGGUUAGAGGUCAAGGGUUAGUGAUUACUAGUUAGUGAGACUCACAGGGAAGUAAUGAAGUGUUCUUACACCUCUCCAUUAAGCCAUUAAAACGAUCAUGAGAUAUUGGGAUAUACGAACCAUCCACCUAUCAGCUGCAAAGCUUGUGGCAUAGCAAAAUAAAACAUAUACAUAUACCAUAGAUGUACACAUAUUAGAUUACACACACACACAGCAUUUACACAUAUACAGACUCACACAUACAUUGUACACACGAUAAUUAUAAUUAUGUCAAUAAAAUAAAUACAAAAAUAUUGUGCAUUACUAUACAUGCCUCUAAAAUAGGCCAAUACAUGCAACUAAUAAUGAGCAGUUUUAAUUUAACAUUUUAAAUAGCUCUCAAAAUAUAAUUUAUAAUUAUAUUACAAUAACAGAUAAAGACAAAAAACAACAACAAAAAACCCAAAACAAACCAAAAACCAAACAACCCAAAACCCCACCCCACCCCACCCAAGACCCCCCCCUUCAAAAAAAACAAAAAUCCCUGCAUAUACUUGAUAUGGACAAUGUUUUUAUUUUGAUUAUCAUAAACAUAAAUUUCUGAUGUUAAACUAUGACAUACAUGUAACUGAAUUGUACAUAUUUUGUAAUGAUGUCAUUAAUUAAGAUAAUUUCACCAGCAUAUAUACCGAGUAGAAAAUUGGUUAAAUACUGAAUCAUUUUAAAGUCAGAAAUUGGCAAAUUGAAAAACAAUAUGAUCCACCCUAAUCGACUGCAAUCUCAUUUCUAGAAGUACACUAAAACAAAGGAAAAAAUAAUAACUUUGUUUUCAUUGGUCACCAUAAUCAACCAAUGAAAACUGUGGUUUCAGAAUAAAACAGAUUUCACAAAAAUGGCUACAUCUACAGUAUUGCAUGACAAACAAAAGAAGAAAAAAACCCACCACCACCAAAAUAAUUUUUGCAAAAUAAAAACAAAUUUAACAAUAACAUAACAAAAUAAAAUAAUUUUUCUGAAACAAAAUUGGAAUUCUGUGUUGGAAGAUCUGAUCUGAGACGGGGGUUACUUGUAAAAACAAGACAAAUCAUUACAUAAACAAUACGGUACUUAUGUAUUCACAUAGAGAAUAACUACAUGUAGGUAAUGGUGUAGGAUAUCUGCUUUAUUCUGUGAAGGUAAGAAUUGAUAAUUCCCCCCCCCCCCCACCCCCACCCCCACCCCCGAGGCUUGCCAAGCAGAAUUUCUCAUUUGGCCCGAAUAGGAUAAAGCCGAUAUCCUAUGUCAUUAACUAGUUAUUAUGUUUAUCCUGCAGACUGUAAAAAUUAAGUUAUUUCUAUUAUUUGAGCUACGUUGUAUGAUGACCUAGAGGUCAAAUGAGCGAUUUUGUAAUGUAGCUAUGCGUGUAACGUCACAUGAGUGAUGACAAAAGUCAAAUUCUGCUACUAUACGUAUAUGACUUUGCUUUAUGCGUCAUCAUAAUCUGUCAACAGAAAGAGUGGUUCGAAGAAUAAAUAUCCAUUUACACGAUUUGGAAGAAAAAGAGAUGAUUUGGCUACAACAUGUCAUGUACCAUAUACAUGAAGCAUAGUUGUAAGAUUCCUAUUAAUGGACAUAGAUUGUGUGUUUUGACACAAACUCUGUUGUCGUAAUGCUGAGUUACACUAACAUUCACUGCUAACUCCAAAAUUGGUGUAUUUUGCAUUUUGAAAAUGAAUUCUUCAUAUUCAUUUAUGUCGUGUAUGUAUAUGUAUAUGUGUGUGUGUGUGCGUGUCUGUGUGUGUAUCUGUGUGUGUGUGUGCGUGCAUGUGUACGUGCAUGUGUGCAUGCAUGCAUGCAUGAAUGCAAACAUACAUGUGUGUGUACAUCAUAUAUAACAAUAUUUUGUUCCUGCAUAGACAGCCCAGACAGAUGAUAUGUACAGCAUGCUUGAUCUUUAACUGGACAUAGCAUGAAAAUAAAAUAUAUAGCAAUGACAGAUCACCUAUAGUCUGUCCCAUCCUACAAAAAUGUUUUUUGUAAAUAUUUUCAGUUAAGUUUGAGGUAAGAAGAAAAGUAAAAGUGUUUUGGAAAUAAUAAAAAAACGUAAAAUUUUGUGUCCAGUUUGGAAAACAAUCGGCUCAGAAAUAAUAACAUAGCAU
This 4345-nucleotide long non-coding RNA is filed under the name Gigantopelta aegis. Its description in RNAcentral is "uncharacterized LOC121387421". The record is from RNAcentral. Lineage: Eukaryota; Metazoa; Mollusca; Gastropoda; Neomphalida; Peltospiridae.